CAAUAAAUGAGUCCUACUCCUACACCUACUCUUAUCACUUGUAAUCCAAAAAAGCUCCAUUUCUUUCUUGCACGCUAAUUCACUAUUAAAUAGAAAUGUAUAUGCAAAACAGCGAGAAAUUUGUAGAUACGUUGAAUGUUGUUGCUUUCACAUUUGCAACUCUUAGUAGUUGUUCAAAACAACAAUGUCGAGCAAAGAUGUUUGCGAUGUUUGAAUGAUUCUUGGAUUGUAUUUGGAUUCCAUCGGUACUAUGGCCUGUUGAUUCGGCACCUUUGUCAUUUUAGCAACUUUUGUUUUCUUUUCUGUGUCGAUGUAGUUCUCUAUACCAUAUUCAUGUUCAUAUUCAUGUUCAUAUUCAUGUUCAUAUCAAUGUGCAUAUCAAGGUCAAUAUCAAUGUCCAUAUCAAUUUCCCAUGUUCCAUUACAUAUCCCGUGUUCUUUCCUUCUUCCAGCUUUUACAUGCUAGCCUUUUAUACAAUGAUUCCUCUCAUCUCGACUCGCUUGAUGAAUGGGCGUUUAGNUUNUUGCAACAACAUAUGCGUUGGGUUAUCUCAUAUCGGGAAACACUUUCUGCCACUUUUAACUUGAACAAAGUUGGAGAAAUAAAGUGAUGGCAGAAUAUUGCAAGCUGUUUAUAGCGUGNCCUGUAGAAUGUAAAAACGCUAUGUUUUCGUGAAUGCCCAGCCUGUAAAUCGAAAAAAGAUUUCGGNAUUUAUUAAGCAUGGNAANAUCNCAANUGGGAAAAAACCCGNAUACGGUUGGNNCNCNUUCCNNGUCGGUUCNCCAG
Molecule: small RNA, 786 nt
Filed under: Schizosaccharomyces pombe (fission yeast)
Lineage: Eukaryota; Fungi; Ascomycota; Schizosaccharomycetes; Schizosaccharomycetales; Schizosaccharomycetaceae
Description: small heterochromatic RNA precursor
Source: RNAcentral